This is a long non-coding RNA of Dreissena polymorpha, 715 nucleotides long. RefSeq lists it as uncharacterized. The record is from RefSeq and is a predicted model, not a curated record. The transcript is spliced from 3 exons. NCBI's taxonomy places the organism in Eukaryota, Metazoa, Mollusca, Bivalvia, Myida, Dreissenidae.
CAUCAUUUUUUCAGUGGGAUAUGACGCGUUUUGGCAAAUUUCACGGAAUAAAUGCGUUUGUUUCACGAAUUUAAGGAGAAUCGUGAGUUUUUAAGAAGAAAAUACGUUUUCAGAGGAAAAUAAGAAAAAAAAAACGUACAAAAACUCGUCUUGAGCAUCUCAAAUCGCAACAAUUUGUGCUGAAAGAGCUCAUGAACACGUUUUAAUAGUUGUUUACUUCUUUUUCUACAUAGCUUGUAACAAUAUUCCAGUAUUUUGACCGAUUGUAAUUAUUUAGGGUAAUCGUUUUACGCCUGAACGCCCGUUAUAAAUCAAAGCUCCGAACGCGAAAGCCACAUGGCUUAUCAGGCGUUAUAAUAAAAUGCAUUUUCAAGCAUUUCUACGUGAAAGAUCGGUCUGAAAAUUGGCAUGCACAUAGAAAAUAGGUUUAUAAUUAUCGAGAAGUGCUUAUUUUUCGCGAUGUUAACAGUAAACGUUGUCUUAUAGGUUACAAUACACUAAAUGAUCGCUUCAUGUAGGGCUGUACUCUCUAAAAAAAUAUCAUAGUUGACAGGAAGGCAUGUUUUACACUUUUUACCAUUAUUCGGGUGUUAUCUUGCGGUGAUAAUGGUAGGGCAUGAAUAGGUGUUCACUACUAAAUCCCUGAAAUAUGAUACACGUGAAGACUAUCGUAAACCAUUGCACUAGAAAAGGUUACAUUCCACUAAGAAACGGC